Molecule: ribosomal RNA, 253 nt
Filed under: uncultured bacterium
Lineage: Bacteria
Description: partial 16S ribosomal RNA
Rfam family: Bacterial small subunit ribosomal RNA
Source: RNAcentral
UACGGAGGGUGCGAGCGUUGUUCGGAAUUACUGGGCGUAAAGGGCGCGUAGGCGGCCGUUUGCGUCGGAUGUGAAAGCCCGGGGCUCAACCUCGGAACGGCAUUCGAUACGGGACGGCUAGAGACCGGGAGAGGAGAGUGGAAUAGCCAGUGUAGAGGUGAAAUUCGUAGAUAUUGGCUGGAACACCGGUGGCGAAAGCGGCUCUCUGGCCCGGUUCUGACGCUGAGGCGCGAAAGCGUGGGGAGCAAACAGG